UUAUGGUUUGGGUGAAGAAUGCCCCCGCCUUGGCGGGGGAGGAAAGUCCGGACAGCUAAAAGACAGGGUGGCCUAGGCUCUUUUUUAAACGAAGGGUGAGGUCUCCCGCCAAGCAAUUGGCGGGACGCGAUAGGGCCACAGAGACGAUUAAAAGUGAAACGUCCCAGCACUAGCUGGGUCAAACUUAAGGCAACUUAAGUUUGUGGUAACCCGCCCCGCUGCAAUCGACGAUCUGGGAUUUAAGGUGUCUUUUCCGUCUGCGCAAGCAGGAUCCCUAAAGCUUCGAGCAUUAGAUAAAUAUUCUUCUGAAAAACAGAAUCCGGCUUACUAAGAGCCUAAAGCA
This 343-nucleotide RNase P RNA is filed under the name Candidatus Collierbacteria bacterium RIFOXYD1_FULL_40_9. RNAcentral's name for it is "RNase P RNA component class A". It matches the Rfam family "Bacterial RNase P class A". Rfam says of the family: Ribonuclease P (RNase P) is a ubiquitous endoribonuclease, found in archaea, bacteria and eukarya as well as chloroplasts and mitochondria. Lineage: Bacteria; Candidatus Collieribacteriota. The record is from RNAcentral.